GGAUGAAAAUUGAGACUUGGACCUAGAACGGAAAGAAAUCGAUUUAUGGACGAGUAUGUCCUUUUCACAUUUGUGGUAUCGAGAGUUCCAGGUUAGCUCGGGUUGGAGGCCGUCGAGAUAUUAUCACCCUAUCGAGUUAACGUUAUCGGAGUAAGUAAACUCAAGUGAUUCGAGUCUAUGGCAUGUAUAGGGUUUUAAUGUGAGUAUGUAAUAUUAUGAUUUAGCCAAAGGCAUUGGCUUGUUAUUAAGGUAGUAUUAGUCAUGUAAAUUGGCCUAUGUCGGCUAAUGACGUUAUGGGCCCAUAUGAUUAUUCUUAUGCAUUUAUGUUAUUAUUUCUUGUGAUGUGGCUUACAACAUGUAUGCCUAGAUAUUGAAUUGAGAUUCAUUGAUGAGCUAGUAACUAAUGCAGGAUUAAGUGAUUGGUAAAUAGUUAAUAA
Molecule: long non-coding RNA, 437 nt
Organism: Gossypium arboreum
Lineage: Eukaryota; Viridiplantae; Streptophyta; Magnoliopsida; Malvales; Malvaceae
Exons: 2
Source: RefSeq, a predicted model, not a curated record